Molecule: long non-coding RNA, 445 nt
Filed under: Sus scrofa (pig)
Lineage: Eukaryota; Metazoa; Chordata; Mammalia; Artiodactyla; Suidae
Description: lncRNA (ENSSSCG00070014636.1)
Source: RNAcentral
CCUGUGUGUUCCCGGAGUUCAUUCUUCGACUGCGUGAACAAGAACCCGGAUUCUGCUAGCGCUGAAGCUGACCUCAGGACUAUCUUAUUUUCCGAAAGAUCUGAACUGCAGAGGGUCAUUCUGCCCUUGAAAAGAAACCAAGAUAAAAGGAAACAGCUCUCAGGAAUUAUAAGCAAAACACAACCAGACACUCACUGCGGAUUGCCCCAUUUUCCACCUCUUUAGUAAGUGGUUUGGCUUUUAGUGCAUUGCAGAUAUAUGUGCUUGGGUAGCCCUUUUCUUUGCAACGGGAUUUGAUUCUCCUUAUUCUUUUCCUGUCUAUGCCUAGUAAGUCUUGAAAAUCCUUCACUUCUUCAUUCCACAGAUGUUUACUGAAUGCCUGCUAUGUGCAAGAUACUGAUUCUUCCUCUGCUGUGACUUUUGGAUAAUCCAGACUUGAAUUGAG